Cinara cedri is the source of this 671-nucleotide non-coding RNA. The record is from the annotation of a GenBank genome assembly. NCBI's taxonomy places the organism in Eukaryota, Metazoa, Arthropoda, Insecta, Hemiptera, Aphididae.
UAGAUAUAUAGUAAAUACUCUGUCGAUAUACUUAAAUAUUAUGUAUGUGGAAAUGCUUUUUGUGUAACAAUAUAUCGUGUUUUAUUUUAUUUUAUCCUAUGACCGGCAUGCGCCACAGUGUCGUGUGUGUAAGUGUUUAGUGGAUUCAUAAAUGACAACGCUAACUCAUUCAUUGCCUGGUAAGAAAUAGGCCGAGUUUUCAUUCAAAUUGUAUUAUAUUAUGAUAAUUUAUUCAUACUAAAUAUUUGAUUGACCAUUUGAAAAUUCUAUAUAACCCAAGCUGCUUGAAUUAUUUUCAUUAGAAAUACAUACAAAUCAAUAAACACUAUAGAUAUAGAUAUCCCAACUUUAUAUUCUAUAAUUAAAUUCUUUAUUUUCGGUUACAGGCACAGACUUGAGCAAAGUCAUACAAAAACGAAGAUCUGGCUCUAUAGGGUAAGAAUUUAAUGUUUAUUUAAUAGUAUGUUAAUUAAUACAAAACCAAAUAAUAAUUGUGCAGCAGAAAUAAAUUUAAGUAUAUUAACUUCUUCCCAUUACUACUGUUAAAAUUCAAUCAUAGACUUUAAAUGUAUAGUCACAGUAUUAUAUUUACUUGCCUAAGUAGGUAUACCUACCCAGUAUGAUGUGUUUCAUAAUAAAAACAAAUUGUUAAUAUUUUUAUAAACUAUUAA